Long non-coding RNA from Spea bombifrons (plains spadefoot toad), 795 nucleotides. RefSeq lists it as uncharacterized. NCBI's taxonomy places the organism in Eukaryota, Metazoa, Chordata, Amphibia, Anura, Pelobatidae. The transcript is spliced from 3 exons. The record is from RefSeq and is a predicted model, not a curated record.
UACGGAUGAUAAAUCACACGCAGUCCCGGGAGGCUGGGGUUUCCUGGGGCAUAUUCAGGUCACAGCCAGCUGUGCUCCUGCCUCCCCCCCCGGGUCCCCCAUAAACACACUACAUGCGCCGCUUGCAGACUAAGCAGGGGUCACUUUGCAGGUCCUAAAGGACUCACACGAUGUCCUUGAUUGUCAUUCGCCGGGAUCUCCUUCCUCCCUUGCACCCCACCUCCCUGCCCAUCUUGGGGAUAGUAAUAGAUGGGAUGGGCGAUGCAGGAUGUAUUUGUGCUGCUAGAUUGGAUAUUCAGGGCAGCAUCCUAAGCAAAGAGCCAAUAAGCUGCUAGCAAAGCACUGUGUCCUCCCUGCCCACCGGAGGGAUGCCGGAGAAGCUGCAGUGUGGUGAGGCUUCACUCCUAGCAGCCUAGUGACAUCUUAGCUCGCUCUCCUCUAUCACUUACAGCACAAACUUCAAAAAUCGAAAACAAGCUCUUCCGUGCUGUGCAGAGAGGAUGCACUGCCGUGUGUGUGCCUGCCUGUAAUAAAGAUCAGCUGACAGAUGCAGACCCUCCCAUCUCUGCUUACAGUGCACAUACCUUCUGUGUAGCAGCCUCAGUCUAUGAGGAGGAAACAGAGUGAUCCCUUCUAGUCACCGAGGCAGCAGGACUGAAGGACCCCAAAUACCUGCCAGUGACUUGGACAGUCUGUUAUUGAAGAUGGUUGUGAGCUGAAGAUCUUAAGUUCCUUCUGAACCAGUCUUUCAAUCACUGAUAGAAGACAAGAAUUUGAAAAGGUUAUCAUCAAGAC